CCCGCUGAACUUAAGCAUAUCAAUAAGCGGAGGAAAAGAAACUAACAAGGAUUCCCCUAGUAACUGCGAGUGAAGCGGGAAGAGCUCAAAUUUGAAAUCUGGCAGCUCUCUGAACUGUCCGAGUUGUAAUCUAGAGAAGUGUUACCUGUGCUGGACCGUGUACAAGUCUCCUGGAAUGGAGCGUCACAGAGGGUGAGAAUCCCGUCUUUGACACGGACUGCCUGCAUGUUUAUGGUGCGCUCUCAAAGAGUCGAGUUGUUUGGGAAUGCAGCUCAAAAUGGGUGGUAAAUGCCAUCUAAAGCUAAAUAUUGGCGAGAGACCGAUAGCGAACAAGUACCGUGAGGGAAAGAUGAAAAGAACUUUGGAAAGAGAGUUAAACAGUACGUGAAAUUGCUGAAAGGGAAACGCUUGAAGUCAGUCGCGUCAUCCAGGGAUCAACCUUGCUUUUGCUUGGUGUACUUUCUGGUUGACGGGUCAGCAUCAAUUUUGACCAUUGGAAAAAGAUUAAGGGAAUGUGGCAUACAUAGUGAUGUGUUAUAGCCCUUGGUUGCAUACAAUGGUUGGGAUUGAGGAACUCAGCACGCCGCAAGGCCGGGUUUUUAUUAAUCACGUACGUGCUUAGGAUGUUGGCAUAAUGGCUUUAAUCGACCCGUCUUGAAACACGG
RNAcentral lists this ribosomal RNA (665 nucleotides) under uncultured fungus. Its description in RNAcentral is "eukaryotic LSU rRNA". It matches the Rfam family "Eukaryotic large subunit ribosomal RNA", at positions 24 to 664 of the family's 3401-position model. The record is from RNAcentral. Lineage: Eukaryota; Fungi.